Long non-coding RNA from Hyaena hyaena (striped hyena), 478 nucleotides. RefSeq lists it as uncharacterized. The transcript is spliced from 4 exons. The record is from RefSeq and is a predicted model, not a curated record. NCBI's taxonomy places the organism in Eukaryota, Metazoa, Chordata, Mammalia, Carnivora, Hyaenidae.
CAGAUUCUACUUUUCUACAAGAAAACAAAAAAACACCACUGCUUCCUGAGGACUCCCCAGAUAAAAAAGAUGCUGUGUGAGAAUCCACUUGUGACUCAGGGGAUUGAGACAAUAACUUACCUCUUUUCCAGUUGGCCAGAGAGAUCAAAACAACCAAACACAAUUUUUGGAUGGCAAAAUCCUUAUUUCCUAGGAGGAAAUUUGGACACAGAGAGAUACAUGUGACAAAACACAGGAAGAAAAUGGUCAUCGAGAAAGCCAAGAAGUAUGACCCAUCUUUCCUUCAUAGUUCCUCAGAUGGAACCAGUCCUGCAAAUAUCUUGAUUUCGGAUUUCUAGCUUCCAGAAUUAGACAGAGCAUGCAAGUGAGGAUGAAGGGCAGAGGGAGAGGACAGAAUGUCAUGCAAGCUCUACACUCAGUCCGGAGAUCAAAGCAGGUCUCCGUCUCACAAUCCUGGGAUCGUGACCUGAGCCAAAAU